AACGAACGCUGGCGGCAUGCCUAACACAUGCAAGUCGAACGAGACCUUCGGGUCUAGUGGCGCACGGGUGCGUAACGCGUGGGAACCUGCCCUUAGGUUCGGAAUAACUCCCCGAAAGGGGUGCUAAUACCGGAUAAUGUCUUCGGACCAAAGAUUUAUCGCCUUUGGAUGGGCCCGCGUUGGAUUAGCUAGUUGGUAGGGUAAAAGCCUCCAAGGCGACGAUCCAUAGCUGGUCUGAGAGGAUGAUCAGCCACACUGGGACUGAGACACGGCCCAGACUCCUACGGGAGGCAGCAGUGGGGAAUAUUGGACAAUGGGCGAAAGCCUGAUCCAGCAAUGCCGCGUGAGUGAUGAAGGCCUUAGGGUUGUAAAGCUCUUUUACCCGGGAUGAUAAUGACAGUACCGGGAAAAUAAGCUCCGGCUAACUCCGUG
RNAcentral lists this ribosomal RNA (432 nucleotides) under uncultured bacterium. Its description in RNAcentral is "partial 16S ribosomal RNA". It matches the Rfam family "Bacterial small subunit ribosomal RNA", at positions 29 to 507 of the family's 1533-position model. The record is from RNAcentral.